RNAcentral lists this transfer RNA (77 nucleotides) under candidate division WWE3 bacterium. RNAcentral describes it as "tRNA-Ala". It matches the Rfam family "tRNA". From Rfam's summary of the family: Transfer RNA (tRNA) molecules are approximately 80 nucleotides in length. Their secondary structure includes four short double-helical elements and three loops (D, anti-codon, and T loops). RNAcentral also lists the same sequence under 1 other name. Lineage: Bacteria; candidate division WWE3. The record is from RNAcentral.
GGGGCUGUAGCUCAGCUGGUUAGAGCACCGCGUUUGCAACGCGGGGGUCAGGAGUUCGAAUCUCCUCAGCUCCACCA